RNAcentral lists this long non-coding RNA (396 nucleotides) under Jatropha curcas. RNAcentral's name for it is "long non-coding RNA (JCUR_LNC000987)". The record is from RNAcentral. Lineage: Eukaryota; Viridiplantae; Streptophyta; Magnoliopsida; Malpighiales; Euphorbiaceae.
AUGGAGCCACAUCUCAGUCUAGUGUAGGUGUUCCUAGUCCUCAGCCUACAACCCCUUUAGUUUCUGUCACACCAAGCGCACAAACCACUUCUGCUUCUGUUGUUACACCUAUCUCACAACCCAUUUCUGCUUCUGUUGUCCCACCUGGCUCACAACCCACUUCUGCUUCUGUUGUCCCACCUGGCUUGCAACCCGCUUCUGCUUCUGUUGUCACACCUGGCUCACAACCCACUUCUGCUUCUGUUGUCACACCUGGCUCACAACCUACUACUGCUUCUGUUGUUACACCUGGCUUACCAUCUACAGCAGCUGGCCCUUCUCCACCUAUCCAAUCAAGAGGACGAGGUCGAAAGGCUCAGAGUGGAGUACAAGCACCACGACGCAGGGGAAAAAAAC